UUGACCUCAAAUCAGGUAGGACUACCCGCUGAACUUAAGCAUAUCAAUAAGCGGAGGAAAAGAAACUAACAAGGAUUCCCCUAGUAACUGCGAGUGAAGCGGGAAAAGCUCAAAUUUGAAAUCUGGCGGUUUUUGACCGUCCGAGUUGUAAUCUAGAGAAGUGUUACCUGUGCUGGACCGUGUAAAAGUCUCCUGGAAUGGAGCAUCAUAGAGGGUGAGAAUCCCGUCUUUGACAUGGACAACCAGUGCGUCGUGGUGCGCUCUCAAAGAGUCGAGUUGUUUGGGAAUGCAGCUCAAAAUGGGUGGUAAAUGCCAUCUAAAGCUAAAUAUUGGCGAGAGACCGAUAGCGAACAAGUACCGUGAGGGAAAGAUGAAAAGCACUUUGGAAAGAGAGUUAAACAGUACGUGAAAUUGCUGAAAGGGAAACGCUUGAAGUCAGUCACGUUGGCUAGAAAUCAGCCUUGCUUCUGCUCGGUGUACUUUCUGGUUGACGGGUCAGCAUCAAUUUCGACCGCUGGACAAAGUCUUUGGGAAUGUGGCAUCCUCGGAUGUGUUAUAGCCCAUCGUCGCAUGCAGUGGUUGGGAUUGAGGAACUCAGCACGCCGCAAGGCCGGGUUUCGACCACGUUCGUGCUUAGGAUGCUGGCAUAAUGGCUUUAAUCGACCCGUC
Molecule: ribosomal RNA, 669 nt
Filed under: Inocybe lanuginosa var. ovatocystis
Lineage: Eukaryota; Fungi; Basidiomycota; Agaricomycetes; Agaricales; Inocybaceae
Description: eukaryotic LSU rRNA
Rfam family: Eukaryotic large subunit ribosomal RNA
Source: RNAcentral